This 379-nucleotide unclassified non-coding RNA is filed under the name plant metagenome. RNAcentral describes it as "partial contains 5.8S ribosomal RNA, internal transcribed spacer 2, and large subunit ribosomal RNA". The stretch from base 1 to 106 matches the Rfam family "5.8S ribosomal RNA", at positions 49 to 154 of the family's 154-position model. The record is from RNAcentral.
CGAAAUGCGAUAAGUAAUGUGAAUUGCAGAAUUCAGUGAAUCAUCGAAUCUUUGAACGCACCUUGCGCUCCUUGGUAUUCCUUGGAGCAUGCCUGUUUGAGUAUCAUGAAAUCUUCAAAGUAAAUCUUUUGUUAACUCAAUUGGUUUCUACUUUGGUAUUGGAGGUCUUUGCAGCUUCACACCUGCUCCUCUUUGUUCAUUAGCUGGAUCUCAGUGUUAUGCUUGGUUCCACUCGGCGUGAUAAGUUAUCUAUCGCUGAGGACACUGUAAAAGGUGGCCAAGGUAAAUGCAGAUGAACCGCUUCUAAUAGUCCAUUGACUUGGACAAUACUUUUAUGAUCUGAUCUCAAAUCAGGUAGGACUACCCGCUGAACUUAAGA